Molecule: ribosomal RNA, 458 nt
Filed under: uncultured bacterium
Lineage: Bacteria
Description: partial 16S ribosomal RNA
Rfam family: Bacterial small subunit ribosomal RNA
Source: RNAcentral
CCUACGGGAGGCAGCAGUGAGGAAUAUUGGUCAAUGGCCGAGAGGCUGAACCAGCCAAGUCGCGUGAGGGAAGACGGCCCUACGGGUUGUAAACCUCUUUUGUCGGGGAGCAAAGCGAACCACGUGUGGUUCAUUGAGAGUACCCGAAGAAAAAGCAUCGGCUAACUCCGUGCCAGCAGCCGCGGUAAUACGGAGGAUGCGAGCGUUAUCCGGAUUUAUUGGGUUUAAAGGGUGCGCAGGCGGGGGUGCAAGUCAGCGGUCAAAUUGCGGGGCUCAACCCCGUACUGCCGUUGAAACUGCAUCCCUUGAGUGCGCGAGAAGUAUGGGGAAGGCGGGGGGUAGCGGGGAAAUGCAUAGAUAUCACGCAGAACUCCGAUUGCGAAGGCAGCAUACCGGCGCGCAACGGACGCUCAUGCACGAAAGCGUGGGUAUCGAACAGGAUUAAUACCCGAGUAGUC